Chlorocebus sabaeus (green monkey) is the source of this 1370-nucleotide long non-coding RNA. RefSeq lists it as uncharacterized. NCBI's taxonomy places the organism in Eukaryota, Metazoa, Chordata, Mammalia, Primates, Cercopithecidae. The record is from RefSeq and is a predicted model, not a curated record.
CCACCGCACCUGCCCGAUACCUGUGUCUUUAACACACAUGGCAGACUCCAACUCCUAGGGUUAGGGGAAGGAGUGACUGUAUUGACAUGGUAAGAAAGCUAGAUAAGGAAUGGGAUCAGCUGGCCUCAUGGGUUGGCACAAGCUACUUACAAACCAUAAGGAUUCCCUUUCAUCAUUUCUUGUUCCUCUUCCUAUGUCAGCUUCAUUCUCAUGGACUUUACUGCUUUUCUUGUGAGACUGGAAAUAUGACAGAGAAGAGCUUUGAAGUUCAUUAACUGAGAGGGAAGACGCGACUCUUGGUUCUCACUAAAAGAAAAAAAAAUACUGACUGCGAUUCUCUUUUUAUUGCACAGAUUAUAGACCCUGGGAAAUGGGGUCAGUGGGGCACAGUGUUUAGCAGCCACUCUAUGACUUUCAUCUGAAGUCAGGAAAAAAACAAUUUUCCAAAGGAAGGGCUGAUCCCAGGAGAAAAGAAGAUUUGGUGUGGGAGACAGAAGAUGGAUAUCUACUGGGAUACUAGACAUGGCAUCAGAAGAUAUGAGCUUAAGGUAACUUCACAAAGCCCCUGAUUCUGUGACGAUGUGCAGCUCUCCGGAAAGAUGCUUUGAAGAUAAAACGGGAUAGAGCACAUGGAUCUCUCCCGUCUCUUGCCUGGGCCACUGUAUUCCUCAAAAGAUAAAUGACCCUAGUCCUUUCUUUUUCAUACACAGAAGAUUACAUGUGACAGGGUUAGUGACUGUGCUUCUAUAAUCUAUAAGCAAAUGAACUUUAGUGAUGGAAAACCAGAUGUAUUCUUACACCCAAACCUUGAUGUGAUUCUGCUUCAACAUAACUUCUGAGUAACUUUGAUGUGAUUUUGCCCAUACUGAGCCCCCACGACCUGGAUAUAAGCUGUGGGCUGAAACACUGGGCCAGAUAGUCUUAGAGGACUGCUCCCAAGCCGGAGGCCUUGGCCUACAGUCCUCAUUAAGACUGCUGAAUACAACUAACUUGAAUCCUUUAAAAAAACAGACUUUUUUUCUGUAGUCGGCAAAUGCUUCAGAAUGGUCUGAUGAAAGUGAGCCAAUAAAAACGGUUUGUUGAAUUAGGUAUGGCUGAGAAAAUUGUGGAGGUAUUGGAGAGAAAUUGUAACAAUCAAGAAAGAUGAUUCAAUCGGAUUGCUUUGCAAGUCACUUUCAUUCUUGCUCCAAUGUAAAGAAACUGAAGUUGGGUGUCAUAGGGGAUACAUGAAAGGUAUGAUUUAUUAAGAGAGACAACACAUAACACCAAUUAAGGUACCCAGAGUCAGAGAAGAGACCUUCGCUGUACAUCAAAGAUUCGCAAAUGAAUGUCAAUUUGUGUUUUAAGUUAAAAUAAAAAUGUUUAAGGCA